AGGUUUAUGAUCGUAACAAUAGGUUGAGUUAAAAUUUAACGAAUUUUAUUGUUCGUUCACAAACAC
Ciona intestinalis (vase tunicate) is the source of this 66-nucleotide non-coding RNA. NCBI's taxonomy places the organism in Eukaryota, Metazoa, Chordata, Ascidiacea, Phlebobranchia, Cionidae. The record is from RefSeq.